UGACAUUUUUGUGAUGCUUCCCCAUUUUUGUUGGUGGUGCAAUUACUUUGAUUCCAACACUAAAAUGUGGUCAAAUCACUGCGAAAGUGCCAAAGGAUUAAGUAACAGUUUAUGUCAGAGCAUUUACUUUACUGUCACGCGAAUGAACUGCUGUUACAACAUCGAUUAUUCAAGUCAGUUUUAUUUAUGUAGCCCAAUAUCACACAUUUUUCUUCACAAUCUGUGCAGUAUAUAACUCCCUCAAAGUAUUCUCAUUGGCAGGACAAACAUGGACUCCAUGGACAAAGGUGUGCUGCUGGUCCUGUUGUGUCUGCAGGCUUUCCUGCUCAUCACUGCCUUCACUUCUACUGAUGCAGCCGCUCUGCCUAGAGAAGAUCAACUGCCUCUUGGGGAGAGAAGACCACCACCAAAAGGGAAGCCAAGCUAUUGGCUCGGCUGUUGGGGAAGAAUAGAGGGAUGUAACUCUUUCAGAGUGCCCCCUACUAAUAAUCCUGAGUUGAAUUUACUUGUCAAGCAACUUAAGAAGACGUCAACAUGAUGCGACAACAACAGAAGUUUGAAACAAGCUUUUGCAGAACUGCCAUGCUACGUUUAGGAGUGGAAGAGAAUAUCUACUGUAUGCUGUACUGCUUAUGAAAUCUGCCAUAAUUGCAAAAUAAACAAAUUCAAAUCAGAUAUUGUGUGAUUGUCCAGUUGUUUUGUCAUUUUUUUCAGACCAGACAUUAACCAGCUUGUAGGAUUUAGAGGCUUUCUAG
This 755-nucleotide long non-coding RNA is filed under the name Dicentrarchus labrax (European seabass). Its description in RNAcentral is "lncRNA (ENSDLAG00005023917.2)". Lineage: Eukaryota; Metazoa; Chordata; Actinopteri; Moronidae. The record is from RNAcentral.